This 66-nucleotide ribozyme is filed under the name Aedes aegypti (yellow fever mosquito). Its description in RNAcentral is "drz-agam-1 ribozyme". It matches the Rfam family "drz-agam-1 ribozyme". Lineage: Eukaryota; Metazoa; Arthropoda; Insecta; Diptera; Culicidae. The record is from Rfam by way of RNAcentral.
UGCUCAGCAUCUCCUAUCCCUACCUCCUCGUGGUACUGGCCGGAGUACGAGUAACAUUGGGGAAGA